Molecule: unclassified non-coding RNA, 216 nt
Filed under: Glomeraceae sp.
Lineage: Eukaryota; Fungi; Glomeromycota; Glomeromycetes; Glomerales; Glomeraceae
Description: partial contains 5.8S ribosomal RNA and internal transcribed spacer 2
Rfam family: 5.8S ribosomal RNA (bases 1-71)
Source: RNAcentral
GUGAAUCAUCGAAUCUUUGAACGCAAAUUGCACUCUCUGGUAUUCCGGAGAGCAUGCCUGUUUGAGGGUCAGUAUAUACAAAAAUCGGUGUGUCUCCGGCUUUAUGUGGUGACGCACCGGAUUUGGGUCGUCCUGUUUUCUGCUAAGUGGCCUAUAACCUUGCAUGAUUUUUUUCGAACGUAUUGAAAUGAUUGUACUUACGUAUCCGAUAUCGAA